Unclassified non-coding RNA from Pongo abelii (Sumatran orangutan), 148 nucleotides. It matches the Rfam family "Metazoan signal recognition particle RNA". Rfam says of the family: The signal recognition particle (SRP) is a universally conserved ribonucleoprotein. It is involved in the co-translational targeting of proteins to membranes. The eukaryotic SRP consists of a 300-nucleotide 7S RNA and six proteins: SRPs 72, 68, 54, 19, 14, and 9. The record is from Ensembl. NCBI's taxonomy places the organism in Eukaryota, Metazoa, Chordata, Mammalia, Primates, Hominidae.
GCUGGGUGUGGUGGCGCACGCCUGUAAUCCCAGCUACUCGGGAGGCUGAGGCAGAAGAAUCGCUUGAACCCAGGAGGCAGAGGUUGCAGUGAGCUGAGAUCGUGCCACUGCACUCCAGCCUAAGCGACAGAGUGAGACUCUGUCUCAA